RNAcentral lists this transfer RNA (78 nucleotides) under Planctomycetota bacterium. Its description in RNAcentral is "tRNA-Pro". It matches the Rfam family "tRNA". From Rfam's summary of the family: Transfer RNA (tRNA) molecules are approximately 80 nucleotides in length. Their secondary structure includes four short double-helical elements and three loops (D, anti-codon, and T loops). Lineage: Bacteria; Pseudomonadati; Planctomycetota. The record is from RNAcentral.
CGGGGCGUGGCGCAGCUUGGCUAGCGCGCGUGAAUGGGGUUCACGAGGUCGCAGGUUCGAAUCCUGUCGCCCCGACCA